RNAcentral lists this ribosomal RNA (396 nucleotides) under uncultured bacterium. RNAcentral describes it as "bacterial SSU rRNA". It matches the Rfam family "Bacterial small subunit ribosomal RNA", at positions 358 to 771 of the family's 1533-position model. The record is from RNAcentral.
GGAAUAUUGGACAAUGGGCGAAAGCCUGAUCCAGCAAUGCCGCGUGAGUGAUGAAGGCCUUAGGGUUGUAAAGCUCUUUUACCAGGGAUGAUAAUGACAGUACCUGGAGAAUAAGCUCCGGCUAACUCCGUGCCAGCAGCCGCGGUAAUACGGAGGGAGCGAGCGUUGUUCGGAAUUACUGGGCGUAAAGCGCGCGUAGGCGGCUUUUCAAGUCAGGGGUGAAAUCCCGGGGCUCAACCCCGGAACUGCCCUUGAAACUGGAUGGCUAGAAUACUGGAGAGGUGAGUGGAAUUCCGAGUGUAGAGGUGAAAUUCGUAGAUAUUCGCAAGAACACCAGUGGCGAAGGCGGCUCACUGGCCCGGUACUGACGCUGAGGUGCGAAAGCUAGGGGAGCGA